This 71-nucleotide transfer RNA is filed under the name Loxodonta africana (African savanna elephant). It matches the Rfam family "tRNA". From Rfam's summary of the family: Transfer RNA (tRNA) molecules are approximately 80 nucleotides in length. Their secondary structure includes four short double-helical elements and three loops (D, anti-codon, and T loops). The record is from Rfam by way of RNAcentral. Lineage: Eukaryota; Metazoa; Chordata; Mammalia; Proboscidea; Elephantidae.
GCAGCGAUAGCUCAGUGGUAAAAUUCUCACCUUCCAUGUGGGAGACCCAGGUUCGAUUCCUGGCCAAUGCA